CGCCCGUCGCUCCUACCGAUUGGGUGUGCUGGUGAGAUGUCGGGAUUAGUGGCUGUGGGCGGUUCGCCGCCCUCUGCCGCUGAGAACUUCAUCAAACCCUCCCACCUAGAGGAAGGAGAAGUCGUAACAAGGCUCCU
RNAcentral lists this ribosomal RNA (137 nucleotides) under uncultured Trebouxiophyceae. RNAcentral describes it as "partial small subunit ribosomal RNA". It matches the Rfam family "Eukaryotic small subunit ribosomal RNA", at positions 1670 to 1804 of the family's 1831-position model. Lineage: Eukaryota; Viridiplantae; Chlorophyta; Trebouxiophyceae. The record is from RNAcentral.